Molecule: ribosomal RNA, 520 nt
Filed under: uncultured Glomus
Lineage: Eukaryota; Fungi; Glomeromycota; Glomeromycetes; Glomerales; Glomeraceae
Description: SSU rRNA
Rfam family: Eukaryotic small subunit ribosomal RNA
Source: RNAcentral
AGCAGCCGCGGUAAUUCCAGCUCCAAUAGCGUAUAUUAAAGUUGUUGCAGUUAAAAAGCUCGUAGUUGAAUUUCGGGGUCAGUAGGUCGGUCGUGCCACUGGUAUGCACUGGUCUCACUGAUUCCUCCUUCUUGUAGAACCGUAAUGCCAUUAAGUUGGUGUUGCGGGGAAACAGGACUGUUACUUUGAAAAAAUUAGAGUGUUUAAAGCAAGCUAACGCUUGAAUACAUUAGCAUGGAAUAAUGAAAUAGGACGAACGAUCCUAUUUUGUUGGUUUCUAGGAUUGACGUAAUGAUUAAUAGGGAUAGUUGGGGGCAUUAGUAUUCAAUUGUCAGAGGUGAAAUUCUUGGAUUUAUUGAAGACUAACUACUGCGAAAGCAUUUGCCAAGGAUGUUUUCAUUAAUCAAGAACGAAAGUUAGGGGAUCGAAGACGAUCAGAUACCGUCGUAGUCUUAACCAUAAACUAUGCCGACUAGGGAUCGGAUGAUGUUAAUUUUUAAUGACUCAUUCGGCGCCUUAC